RNAcentral lists this long non-coding RNA (3847 nucleotides) under Cricetulus griseus (Chinese hamster). RNAcentral's name for it is "lncRNA (ENSCGRG00015043218.1)". The record is from RNAcentral. Lineage: Eukaryota; Metazoa; Chordata; Mammalia; Rodentia; Cricetidae.
AGGUAAUCCUUGCUGCGGAGAAAGGCAGGGGCUGUGGAGGCCCAGAGGAAGGAUGUGUCAUCCCUGCCACCAGAGGCCGCACAACAUCUAGGCCCUCUACUUGGGCCCCGCUAGCCUAUGCACAAAGAAGGCUGUGCAGCCCCACCUCCCCUACAGAGCAGAGCUUAGACUAGAUUUCAGCCACCUGCUGGUGAGCCUGGCCCAACCUUCAGAGGGUGAGAUUCUUGGGCUUUAGUGGUAAACCAGGCUCACUGACGGUGCCAAGGCCCAGUGUUAAAUAGACCCCCUCUCUUUUAAUAAUAAAUUAAAAAGGUAGAAGCUGUGAUGCCUAGGCCAGGAAAGCCGGGAGUCAGCAGCUUUCUCGGGCUUAUAUCCUCCCCACAAAGGGUAACCGAUGACAAUGGCUAUGGGGGUCACCCCACCAGAGACCUAGGGAGACCAUAAGGUACUCCGGCCAUCAUCCCUUGAUCAUGUUCAGGCCCCAUGCUGGGUCUGGAAGUUCCGGCCACAGUGAGGUCCCUUCUGUCGCCUUCAUCAACAGAAGAUAAGAAAAUGUAACAAAAACUCAUGUAGCAUGUGCUGUGUGUGUAAGGCUCUGUUCAAGGCUCAAGGCUGCAGAAUGGUAAAUAAGGUCCCUCCUCGAUCCCCUGAUGCUUACAUAUUAAUGAGAAGAGAGAAAUACAGAAGCAAAAAACAGUUAGUUUGGAUCAUCAUAAUUGCUAUGAAAAAAUAAACAACAUGAGAACGUGGGGAUCAUUUAGAGAAGCUGAUCCCAUCAGAGGAGGUGACAUUUCACUGACAGCAAGGAGCCUGACCACCUGAAGGUCAAGCAGAAGGCCAUUCUUGGCAGAGAGAGGAGCAAUGAGAAGCAGCAUGGUAAGCUGGAACCUAGUGAUAGGGAGAAAUGAGCGCAGCAGGGGAGGCUUUGGGGGAGUCAGCAAGGCCCAAUCACAGGAUGGCUUUUGUAGAGUUUGGAUUUUGUACCAAGCACAAUGAUACCUACUGUGACACCCUUGGAAGUUAGGAUUGAGCCCCUCCUGAAGCCUCAAUUCACCCAUCCAGCCUCACCUCCCUUCUACUCUGCACUUGGGGAAGCCAGUCCCAUUAUCAGGCCUCUAUCUCUCAUGGGUGAGAUGACAGGAAACUGGGAGUCUUAGAGGUUCCUUCUAGUGCCGGGAUUUUUGCAUGAGGUAAAGUUCAGAGGCAGAAGGUAAUUGGCCUUGGGUCUGACUGCUGGGUCUGAGCCUGCCUCGUCCCUCCCUGACCAUAUGAACUUAGGAGACUCCACUGCUGUGGUCCAUGCUCUGCAGGUAAAAGACAGGGCGGAGUGGGAGCGCAGUACCCACCACACGGGCUGCUGUGAGGUCUCGCUUAGAAGAAGUUGUGUGAGAGCCAUGCACAGAGCAUGGUAGAUGCUGAAUGAACAUUAGUUAGUAUUACUAUUAUUCAAACAGCCUCCUCAAAAACCUCUGAUUGUGGGGAGGAGGGGAGGGAACUGGGAUUGACAUGUAAAAGAAGCUUAUUUCGAAUUUAAUACAAAACAAAAAAACCUCUGAUUGCUUCCCAAACCUCAAAGAAUAUAAAUUGCCCAGCCCAGAGAUAUAGCUCAGUGUGUAGACUUGUAAUUUGAGCUACUUGGGAGGCUGGGGUAGGAGAAACACAAGUUCAAGGCCUGUGUGGGCUAAGAGAUAGUUCAGGGCCAGUUCUGGAGGCCCCCACAGCAGGCCUCCUGAGUAACCAGAGGCCCAGUUCCUCUCCACAUAUUCUGCUGUUCCUCACUCUGCCCCUAAGAACUCAGCUUCAUGCCUUUUCCUCCUUGGACCCUCUGCCUGGAACAUUCACCUCGACUGGUAUCUAUCCGUCCUCGGGCCUCUGCUCUCAUAGCCUCCUCUGGGGGUCCUCUGCUCCCCCAAGCUCCCAUGGCCCUGUGUGUCAGUCUCUCUGAAUGCCACUGGAUACACUCCUGUGCAGAGGCUCAGAUCAGAAGGGCUUCCCAAUCCCUGCUUUGCCUCCACUGGUGGCUUAUUAAAGGUGGUGUGGCCUCAGACAUUUGCCCCAGGACCGGGAAGCCUGCUCUCCUGGCUGACUCUGGGCUGUGGGUAGAAAAGGCGUAGAUAAUAAGACCCCAUUCCUGCCCUUGAGGCUUUGAAGAGACAGUGAUGUCACAAGAGGAUAAGCACCCCUUAGAGUAGGCUGCUCAUGGACAUUAAGUUCCCACCUCUCUUCUCAGGCCUGUGUCACUCACUCACACAACCCAGGUUGGAGACCAAGGGCCCAGAAAGCUGCAGAGCUUGGACUCUCUCACUGUCUCCUCCCUUCGCUUUACAGACGGGCAGCACAUUCUCCCUUGCUAUACUGUGGGCCUGUUGCCUAUCGCUCCUUGUCAGUGUCUUGUAAAAGAGAUGUUCUAAUUCAUGAGUUAGAUCACUUGGUAUCUAUGUGACUUCAGGGAAGUUACUUGAACUCUCUUUGAGUUGGCUUUCUCAUCUAUAAAGUGGGAACAUGGCCCUGUGAGGCAGCUCAGUGGGUAAAGGUGCUUGACACAGAGCCUGGUCACCUGACUGUCAUCCCUGGGGCUCACAUAGUAGGAGACAAAUGGCUUCCUUAAGUCAUCCCUUGACUUCCACAUGUGUGCCAUGGGACACACACAUGGGUACGCACACACACACACACACACACACACACACACACACACACACACACACACUGUAAUAAACAUUUUGAUAAAUAAAGUAGGAAUGGAAGCAGCCAUGGUGGCUUAUGCCUGUAAUCUCAGUACUUGGGAGGAUGAAACAAGAGGGUCACCCAAGUGUGGCUAUAGAAAGAUCCUGUCUCAAAAUAAAAAUGAAAAGGGGACUACCUCUAUCCGGGCAGUGGUGGCUCAGGCUUUUAAUCCCAGCACUCGGGAGGCAGCGGCUGGUGGAUCUCAAGCCAGACAGUUUUACAUAAGGAGUUCCAGGACAGCCAGGGCUGUAUAGAGAGACCCUGUUUCAAAAAACAAACCCAACAACAAAAAGACAGUAUGGGUUUGAGGUAGGAAUUGGGGAGCAGCUCAGAUGGGAGCUAUGUGGCCCUCCAAGGCUUACCUGGGCUGGAGGCAGGAGGAUGGCUUCCUUGUGUGGGUUCAUGCUACAGGGCAUGCAAGAGGACUCAGGUUUUCACACGUCUCCCUGAGACUGCUUGAGUGUCCUCAUGGCAUGUCAACCGGCUUCCCAGGGCAGCUGAUCCCCUUGAGAUCAAGGGACACGGUAUUCUUUAAAUUUCAUUCAAUUUACUCUUUAAUUAGUACACAAAGUAAUAGGCUUCCUUGUGGUGUUUUCACACAUGCUUAGUUUGGUUGAUCCUGCACAUAUAUUCAAAUCAGAAGCUAGGAUCCCCGUAUGAGGGAACAGGAGGUGUUUGUCUCUCUGGGUUACCUCACUUGAGACCUCUCAGUCUCAUUCUUUUUCCUGCAAAUACCAUCAUUUCGUUUCUCGUGUGUGUGUGUGUGUGUGUGUGUGUGUGUGUGUGUACAUGUUUCCAUGCACAUGUGUGCAGAUGCGUGUGAAGGCCAGAGGACUCCUCCCACAGACAUUCUUUAGAUGCCGCCAUAUUGACAUGGUUCUUUUCCUGGGUAGGAACUUGCUAAUUAGUCUGGCUGUCCAGAGAGCCCUAGGGAUCCCCCAUUUCAGCUGAUUCAAGCAUAUGGGAUUACAAGCACACAACACCAUACCUAACUGUUUAUAUAUGGGUACUGGGGAUCAAACUCAGGCCUUGUGUUUGCAAGGCAAGCACUUUAUCAACUGAACUAUUUGCCCAGACCCAUAAUUUCACUUUUCUAUGCAGCUGAAUAAAAUUCCAUGUGUAU